CUGCGGACAGCUAACCAUUCCACUUUAUCAGCCGGAAAAAAAGGGAGACGUUUUGGUUUCUAGAUUUACGAACAGUAAAUGGUGUAGAACGGGCUUCGCCCUGGCACCGUGUGUCAACUUGAUAACAAGAAACAACGUGUAAAUUACUUCUUGCAUGUCAUCAUUCAAAACAAACAGGCAACUAUAAGCAGUUGUUCCCAUAUUAAUCAUCUGUACAGAUCAAGGGCAUAGUGUCAUACAUAAAGAAGAACGGAACUUUAAGGAACGUUAACUCAAAGCCCAGGAAAACAGGUGACAGAAUAAGGUCUCCUAUUAGGUUUCUGAAUAUGGAUACAACCUUGAAGAAUGGCAUUUCUAAGUUUAAUGCAGCUAAUACAGCAAAGUAAAGAAUGAAGUGUUGUGAAGAAUUAGUGAAGAGGGAUUUUGUAACAUGUUGCACCAAGUUUCCCCAAACCAGUACUCUCUCCAGUGUUGUUGAACUUUGAUUCUUAAAAUUCCCAGCUAAAAUACCAGAUUGGAGAACAAUGUCUUAUACUAUUCAGUAAAGUAUAAGAAGCUAAAGCCACAGCAACUGAGAAAUGUUCCCAGUAUAAUCUAUUUAGUGUAAAAAAAAAAUUAGUACACACAAACACUCAUGUAAAUUGUAUCAAAAGUGGCUAACUUGCUUUGAUGAAAUAAUUUUGAGUGGAGGAUAGCCUAUUUAUUCAUAUCCUAUCUGCCAGAAUAUAAUAUUUGAGCUACAGCAUUUAGAUAUUAGAUUUGCUCAGACAAAUGAUCACAGCCCGCAGUCUGGCUUCUAGAAAUUACAACCAGUUGAUACUUAAUGCACAUCCUGCUGUUUGAAAUACUACAUGGAUAGAAAUAAGAGUACUGACUGAUACCCAUUUCCUUCUAAACUGCUGUUACAUACAGUGUGUUGAAAGCGUAAAACAUACAGUACAUGUCUGUAUUCAUUCCGAAAACAGCUAAAACAAAUCAAAAUAAUUUAUUUAAAAACUUUGAAAAUAUAAUAUGUGACUUUAUAUCCUGUUAUCAAGAAAUAAAAAGCAUUAAAUUUUGGGACCAACAUAUAAGAUACAAUAGUAAUUUUACCAUGGAUUUUAUUAUUACAAAACAGUUGGUUGAUUGAUUGAUACAUAUACAGAAUCAUAAUCUAUGUGUAGACAACUACUGUACAAUAGUUUCUAUUGUGAGUCAGUGUGGAAUAAUGGUUAAGGGAUCAGACUAGAAACUGGGAGACCGGGAGUUCUAGUCCUAUUUUAGCCACAAAGCCAGCUGGUGACCUUGGGCCGAUCUCUGUUAACCCUGGGAAAGAGGUAACUGCAAACAACAUCUAAAAACCUUGCCAAGAAAACUGCAGAGACUUGUCCAGGCAGUUAUCAGAGUAAAAGACUGACUAUUGGGCAACAACAACAAUAGAAGAUUCAAUUACACCUGCACUUAGGGGGCGGUGCUCAUCUUCGUUUCAAAGCCGAAGAGUCAGGGCUGUCCGAAGAUGUCUCCGUGGUCAUGUGGCUGGCAUGACUAAACACCAAAGGCGCAUGGAAUGCUGUUACCUUCCCACCAAAGGUGGUCCCUAUUUUUCUACUUGCAUUUUUUACGUGCUUUCGAACUGCUAGGUUGGCAGAAGCUGGGACAAGUAAUGGGAGCUCAUCCCAUUACGUGGCGCUAGGGAUUCGAACUGCUGAACUGCCGACCUUUCAAUUGACAAACUCAGCGUCCUAGCCACUGAGCCACUGGGUCCGUCUGUCUACUCUAUCUCUAUUCUAUAAGAUGUUUUAAGUACAUAUUGUGAAAACAAAUACAUAUUGCUGAUCAUCCCCAGAUUUAUCUUGGGAUCCUGAUCUACUUCUUGUUCAUUUCUACGUUAAAGGAAAUGCUUAAGCUAGAAUCUUUUUGGAUCAGGCUAAGCAAGUUUAUAUAUGACUAUGGCUGAGUUUAUACAACCCCAUUGAAUAUAGCCAGAUUUAUUUCAGGGUAAGAGUUCUCUGAUUUGCAACCUUACACAGAUGUUGGACUUUAUACACUCUUUGCUGAUGGUACAUAGUUUAGAAUUCACAAAUGUAGUAAUUUCCUAUAUUGGGAAGAAUGUUUGUGAUUAUUAUUUCUAAAUGUGCUAUUGGCCAACUGCAGCCUUAUAGACUUUUCACAUCUCAUGGGCAUUGCUUUUGAUUUCCAAAUGUAUUGCAUUGUUUAAUGUAAUUUUCUAUUUUAAAAAAGGUGGGUAAAGAGGCAACCAGCUACAAAAUUUGGUCUGAUUUUCUCAACAGCACUUUCUCUCUGUCUGCAUCUUUUAAAUGCAUCUUUGAUAAUGUAUAAAUAUAUUUAACAAUAAUUUUGUGAAACAAAUUAACUGAAGAUUCCAUCAUGAACCCAAGCUGAUAAAUUAAUACAGAUGUUUUUAUUUAUUUAUUUAAUUUAUUUGUUGCCCAUCUCAUAGGAAAUGAGUCUCAUAUAGCAAUGGUUUUCUAAAACAAUUUACUGAAUAAUCACAUUUGAUGGAAUGAAUGAAUUCCAUCAGAUGUGAUUAUUCAGUAAAUUAUGUUUUAGAAAAUCAUUAUAUUUUAGAAAACCACCAUUUACAAGAUCUAAGAUACAAACACAACAAACAAUUAACAAACAAACAAUAUUUUGAUUUAAUUUGGCAGUUAAGGUUUAUAGCAGAUGAUUGUUGCCUGAUGAUGGAGAACAACAUGUUUGCAGAACAUAUUAUUGAUAUUUAGAACUGUUCUUGUUAUUAUGGGCAUAUAUGCAUGUCAUUUAAAACUAAAAUAUAUGUCUAAAGUGAUCAUCUAUCUCUUGUAUAUUUCUGUAUCACUGGUCCCUGUUUAUUUUACAUGGGCAGCUGGAAUGUCCUUCACGUUUUGGGUGACCCCUUUGGAAUUAUAUACUCUUGGGAUCCAGUCCGAGCAUUUUUUCCUCAUUGCUCCCCAGCACACUCUCCUGAUGAGGUAGAAUAUCAGGACUUGAGGGAAAAGUCAUGAUUUCAUCCAUCUAAACAAAUCAGAAUUAUAAAUGAUGUGAAAAUGCCAUCUAAACAACAACAAUGCCAUCUAUUUUAUUAUGAUUUAGCUUUAUCCUUUAUUAUCUUUAUAACAAAGAAUCCAUCCACAUGUAAUUUUUAAAAAGCCCAAACUGCAUAUUGAAGAAUAAAUGUGAAUUUUAGAUAUACAUAA
Molecule: long non-coding RNA, 3176 nt
Organism: Pantherophis guttatus
Lineage: Eukaryota; Metazoa; Chordata; Lepidosauria; Squamata; Colubridae
Source: RefSeq, a predicted model, not a curated record